Long non-coding RNA from Ricinus communis (castor bean), 796 nucleotides. RefSeq lists it as uncharacterized. The transcript is spliced from 2 exons. Lineage: Eukaryota; Viridiplantae; Streptophyta; Magnoliopsida; Malpighiales; Euphorbiaceae. The record is from RefSeq and is a predicted model, not a curated record.
CAUAGAGCACUUAUAGUCUCUCUUUUAUAUUUAAGAGCUCUAUCUCUCUCUUCUCUCAGACUCACUUUCCUCUCUAUAGUAAAGAGGAGAUGGAGGAAGAGAGAGAGAGAUAAGUUUUUAUGGAUUGUGGUCUGUUGGGUCUUCUACUACUACUACUACUGCAACUUGAGGAGACAUCCAAAGGGAUCGCAUUGAUCCUCAGAAAAAUUAAGAAUAAUCUCUUCUUAUGUAAUUUCUUGCUUGUUUGCUGUUUCAUUUUUUCUUUUAUUUGGAUCAUGCUAUCCCUUUGGAUUCCUCCUUUGGUAGCUUCUAAAACAUGGUGUUUUUUACAUGGUGGUGGUGCAAACCCUCUUCCUUUUCAUGCACCACCACCAUCAACAACAACAACAACAACAACAACAGCCCUGAUGAUGGUUCGUCGAGAAAAGUGACCGGAGAACAACCUAGCGAGUGCUGAAUAUUAUGUAUGGAGGAGAAGACAAUGCAAAUAGUGAUAGAUCAGUAAGUCAUGCACAAGGGAAAUAUGAAGGGUUGGAUUAAAGUUAUUUAUCGUUUCACUUUCUUAUUGUUUUCACAGUAGCAGGAGAAAGUACUUGGCCGAGAAAAUCUUAGCAUCCUUGAGACAACAUUUAAUAUUUCAGUUUAGAGUUAAAUGGCACUAUCAGUUCUCUUAAUUAGUCUAUAUCAGCUAAAGUUUUAUUUAUGUCCUGGUAUAAGUUUUGAGCUGCCUUAUGUAUAAUUGACCAUAUAUAUAUUAAAGAGUGAAAUUACUGUUAAGUCUUACUUAACAGUUCAA